UUUAUGUUUCAGGGCGAGGUGAAAUUCCUCACUGGCGGUAACAGAAUGCUGCGUUUACAUGGUUUUAUCCAAUACAUGCGCAUCAAAUCUGAAGUCUGCGAGCUGUGUGUAGUGUGGCUUGUACAACCACACACAGUAGAUUCGGUGAAAAGCCGAAACCAACGGUAUAGUCCGGAUGAAAGAGGCAGAUG
This is a regulatory RNA element of Coriobacteriales bacterium, 191 nucleotides long. It matches the Rfam family "FMN riboswitch aptamer (RFN element)". From Rfam's summary of the family: The RFN element is a highly conserved domain that is found frequently in the 5'-untranslated regions of prokaryotic mRNAs that encode for flavin mononucleotide (FMN) biosynthesis and transport proteins. This element is a metabolite-dependent riboswitch that directly binds FMN in the absence of proteins. NCBI's taxonomy places the organism in Bacteria, Bacillati, Actinomycetota, Coriobacteriia, Coriobacteriales. The record is from Rfam.